AAAUUGAAGAGUUUGAUCAUGGCUCAGAUUGAACGCUGGCGGCAGGCCUAACACAUGCAAGUCGAGCGGUAGCACAGAGAGCUUGCUCUCGGGUGACGAGCGGCGGACGGGUGAGUAAUGUCUGGGAAACUGCCUGAUGGAGGGGAUAACUACUGGAAACGGUAGCUAAUACCGCAUAACGUCGCAAGACCAAAGUGGGGACCUUCGGGCCUCAUGCCAUCAGAUGUGCCCAGAUGGGAUUAGCUAGUAGGUGGGGUAACGGCUCACCUAGGCGACGAUCCUAGCUGGUCUGAGAGGAUGACCAGCCACACUGGAACUGAGACACGGUCCAGACUCCUACGGGAGGCAGCAGUGGGGAAUAUUGCACAAUGGGCGCAAGCCUGAUGCAGCCAUGCGCGUGUGUGAAGAAGGCCUUCGGGUUGUAAAGCACUUUCAGCGGGGAGGAAGGCGGUAAGGUUAAUAACCUUGCGAUUGACGUUACCCGCAGAAGAAGCACCGGCUAACUCCGUGCCAGCAGCCGCGGUAAUACGGAGGGUGCAAGCGUUAAUCGGAAUUACUGGGCGUAAAGCGCACGCAGGCGGUCUGUCAAGUCGGAUGUGAAAUCCCGGGCUCAACCCGGAACUGCAUUCGAAACUGGCAGGCUAGAGUCUUGUAGAGGGGGUAGAAUUCCGUGUGUAGCGGUGAAAUGCGUAGAGAUCUGGAGGAAUACCGGUGGCGAAGGCGGCCCCCGGACAAAGACUGACGCUCAGGUGCGAAAGCGUGGGGAGCAAACAGGAUUAGAUACCCUCGUAGUCCACGCCGUAAACGAUGUCGAUUUGGAGGUUGUGCCCUUGAGGCGUGGCUUCCGGAGCUAACGCGUUAAAUCGACCGCCUCGGGAGUACGGCCGCAAGGUUAAAACUCAAAUGAAUUGACGGGGCCCGCACAAGCGGUGGAGCAUGUGGUUUAAUUCGAUGCAACGCGAAGAACCUUACCCGGUCUUGACAUCCACAGAACUUUCCAGAGAUGGAUUGGUGCCUUCGGGAACUGUGAGACAGGUGCUGCAUGGCUGUCGUCAGCUCGUGUUGUGAAAUGUUGGGUUAAGUCCCGCAACGAGCGCAACCCUUAUCCUUUGUUGCCAGCGGUUAGGCCGGGAACUCAAAGGAGACUGCCAGUGAUAAACUGGAGGAAGGUGGGGAUGACGUCAAGUCAUCAUGGCCCUACGACCGUGGCUACACACGUGCUACAAUGGCAUAUACAAAGAGAAGCGACCUCGCGAGAGCAAGCGGACCUCAUAAAGUAUGUCGUAGUCCGGAUUGGAGUCUGCAACUCGACUCCAUGAAGUCGGAGACCUCAUAAAGUAUGUCGUAGUCCGGAUUGAGUCUGCAACUCGACUCCAUGAAGUCGGAAUCGCUAGUAAUCGUAGAUCAGAAUGCUACGGUGAAUACGUUCCCGGGCCUUGUACACACCGCCCGUCACACCAUGGGAGUGGGUUGCAAAAGAAGUAGGUAGCUUAACCUUCGGGAGGGCGCUUACCACUUUGUGAUUCAUGACUGGGGUGAAGUCGUAACAAGGUAACCGUAGGGAACCUGCGGUUGAUCACCUCCUUA
This 1587-nucleotide ribosomal RNA is filed under the name Klebsiella pneumoniae. RNAcentral's name for it is "bacterial SSU rRNA". It matches the Rfam family "Bacterial small subunit ribosomal RNA". Lineage: Bacteria; Pseudomonadati; Pseudomonadota; Gammaproteobacteria; Enterobacterales; Enterobacteriaceae. The record is from RNAcentral.